Non-coding RNA from Phaethon lepturus (White-tailed tropicbird), 46 nucleotides. Lineage: Eukaryota; Metazoa; Chordata; Aves; Phaethontiformes; Phaethontidae. The record is from Rfam.
CCAAAGGCUCUUUUCAGAGCCACCCACCGCUUCAGAAAAAGGGCUG